Molecule: ribosomal RNA, 1097 nt
Filed under: Candidatus Malacoplasma girerdii
Lineage: Bacteria; Bacillati; Mycoplasmatota; Mycoplasmoidales; Mycoplasmoidaceae
Description: bacterial SSU rRNA
Rfam family: Bacterial small subunit ribosomal RNA
Source: RNAcentral
CCAAGUCAAUGACGAAUAGCUAUGCUGAGAGGUAGAAUAGCCACAAGGGGACUGAGACACGGCCCCUACUCCUACGGGAGGCAGCAGUAGGGAAUUUUUCACAAUGGGCGAAAGCCUGAUGGAGCAAUACCGCGUGAAUGAUGAAGGUCUUCGGAUUGUAAAAUUCUUUUAUUAGGGACGAACGGCACUAAGAGGAAAUGCUUAGUGAUUGACUGUACCUAUUGAAUAAGUAACGGCAAACUAUGUGCCAGCAGCCGCGGUAAUACAUAGGUUACAAGCGUUAUCCGGAUUUACUGGGCGUAAAGCGAGCGCAGGCUGAUUAACAAGUCUAGUGUGAAAUGCAGUUGCUUAACAACUGUUUGCAUUGGAAACUGUUAGUCUGGAGUGUGAUAGGGAGUUCUGGAACUCCAUAUGGAGCGGUGGAAUGCGUAGAUAUAUGGAAGAACACCUGUGGCGAAAGCGAGAACUUAGGUCACAACUGACGCUUAGGCUCGAAAGUGUGGGGAGCAAAUAGGAUUAGAUACCCUAGUAGUCCACACCGUAAACGAUGGUUAUUAGUUGUUGGUACGAAGUACUAGUAACGAAGCUAACGCAUUAAAUAACCCGCCUGGGUAGUACAUUCGCAAGAAUGAAACUCAAACGGAAUUGACGGGGACCCGCACAAGUGGUGGAGCAUGUUGUUUAAUUCGUCAGCACACGAAGAACCUUACCAGGGUUUGACAUCCUCGGCAAAGCUAUAGAAAUAUAGUGGAGGUUAACCGAGAGACAGGUGGUGCAUGGUUGUCGUCAGCUCGUGUCGUGAGAUGUUGGGUUAAGUCCCGCAACGAGCGCAACCCCUAUUGUUAGUUACUUUAUCUAACGAGACUGCUAACGCAAGUUAGAGGAAGGUGGGGAUGACGUCAAAUCAUCAUGCCCUUUAUAUCCUGGGCCACAAACGUGCUACAAUGGUUGGUACAAACUGUUGCCAAACUGUAAAGUGGAGCUAAUCAGAAAAAACCAAUCUCAGUUCGGAUUGAGGGCUGAAAUUCGUCCUCAUGAAGUUGGAAUCACUAGUAAUCGCGAAUCAGACAUGUCGCGGUGAAUGCGUUCUCGGGUCU